Long non-coding RNA from Ooceraea biroi (clonal raider ant), 318 nucleotides. RefSeq lists it as uncharacterized. NCBI's taxonomy places the organism in Eukaryota, Metazoa, Arthropoda, Insecta, Hymenoptera, Formicidae. The record is from RefSeq and is a predicted model, not a curated record.
AUUGAUGAUUGCUCACUAGUGCCGGGGCGAUCCUCUCGAAUUUGUCAUUGACCAUAUAGUGAGAGUACACGGCCAUCAGCAUCAAGAGAAGCAAAGGGAGAAUUUAUGACGUGGAGGACCAAUUAGAAUUUCGCUUGAUUAUCAUGAGCAAAGAAGGUGAUUGAUUCUUUGCACCUACGACUUGGAAUAAUUGCCAUGGCGAGGCCACAGAUGAUCUCGAGUGAGCCGACGACUCUUCGAUACCAUUUGCUGGGCACUUUGAAAUCGAGCGUGCCCGAGAGCGGAAACACUUUUGCAUAUUUGACAUAUUCUUUUCUC